CGCGUAGGCGGCCGAUCAAGUCGGAGGUGAAAUCCCUCGGCUCAACUGAGGAAUUGCCUUCGAUACUGUUCGGCUUGAGUCCUGGAGAGGGUAGUGGAAUUCCCGGUGUAGCGGUGAAAUGCGUAGAGACCGGGAAGAACACCAGUGGCGAAGGCGGCUACCUGGACAGGUACUGACGCUGAAGCGCGAAGCUAGGGGAGCAAACA
Molecule: ribosomal RNA, 206 nt
Filed under: uncultured bacterium
Lineage: Bacteria
Description: partial 16S ribosomal RNA
Rfam family: Bacterial small subunit ribosomal RNA
Source: RNAcentral